Hibiscus syriacus is the source of this 1570-nucleotide RNA transcript. RefSeq lists it as uncharacterized. NCBI's taxonomy places the organism in Eukaryota, Viridiplantae, Streptophyta, Magnoliopsida, Malvales, Malvaceae. The record is from RefSeq and is a predicted model, not a curated record. The transcript is spliced from 3 exons.
UUGCCGACAUGUUGGUGUGGAGAAACAUUAUACAACCUUUGGGAGAAAAUGAUGAUUUGUUUAAUAAGGACCUAAGACUUUCUUUAGGAGAUGGAAAGUUGAUAGAUUUUUGGAAUGGAUAUUGGACUAGCUUCCCUUCGUUGAAAGAGGCUUUCUCAAGGAUUUUCGGAUUAGCGAUUAAAAAAUUGGGGAAUGUAGCCGAGUUCGGAUCAAAGAUAGAAGGGAAGUGGGUGUAGAAAAUAGAGAUUCGAAGGGUCCUUUUCUCUUGGGAAACUAGCUUUUGGGAUGACUUCAUUAGUACUUUAAACGAAGCGACUCGAUGUAAUAUCGAGAAGGACGGAUUGCGGUGGUUGGGAUCCUCGGAUGGGGUCUAUAAUCCAAGGAGUUUUUCUUCCAAAGCAGUGUUUGUGGAGGACGAGUGAGAUAAUUUCUGGGAGAAGAUGUGGUCGAACCUAGCCCCUCCGAAAGUAGAGUUUUUAAUUUGGAGUGCUAUUCUAAAUAGAUUACCGGUCCUUACGGAAAUUGAAAAACAGGGUGUUUCUAAUUUGGUAUCUUGUGUGCGUGUUAUGCCAUAAAGACAGAGACCGUAACACAUAUUUUCUCCCAUUGUGAGAUGGUUUGGCGAGCUUGGCAAAGAUGGUUCUCAAUAUGGAAUCUCAACUUCAUUUGCCCAGGAACGAUGUUCGGUUUAAUAAUAGCUGCUGGAAUGAAGAGAAGUUGUUUGAGGUAGCGAUUUUGAGAUUUAGGUGCUGGUGUAAGUGGAAGUGGCCAGAGUUAUGCCCUUCCAUCUGCGACAUCAUCUUCUCUCCAUUUGGUCUCAUUUCGUUUCGGAGGUAAUUGUUUUCAGUUCUUGUGGCUCUAUUCUGAUAAGAAAAGAAGGUGUUCGGAAGAGGAAGAUGGCAAUGAUUUUAACUGUUUGUGCUCCAUAACAUUCCUUCUAGUGAAGCUUGUGGUUGAAAUAUUCUUCUCUGGCUUGAUGCGUGAGAGCGUUAUGUUGGUCAAAGAGUUUAUGCUUUGCUGUUGUGGGGUAGCAGGUUGCGACGAGGAUCUGUGUAUUGCCAACUGAGGUGGGAGAUGUUUGAUGGCCAUAAGCUUAUACUUCCUUUGGAUACAAGAGCAAGCAGAAUCGUUGUUCGACCCUCAAUUGAUCCAGUUUCUGCAGUUGCAGUCAGCCUGGUGUAGUCGGUGGUCUGGAUUUUGUAUUGCCGCAGAUAAAUUAUUUAGAAUUUCUAUUCGGAUGUGUUUGUUUGUGGUGUUUAGAGAGGCCCUUUCAACGUAAGUUCGUAGCAGAUUAUCUCUUGGAUUUUCCUAGCCGUGCUUUUUGUUUAGUUGUGGAAGUUGUUUGAAUAGUCAGGUUAAGUGAUGUUAUGAUUUUGGUCCAACUUUGUGUGAGAAAAACUAAUCUUGUUGGAAUUGUUGAUUUCUAGGUGGGUAACAUAGGAUAUGUAUUAGUGUGAUGACUGCUGGUUUUGGCUGUGUCUUGGGAUUUUAUUUUGUAAGGGUGGACUAUUGAGUAACAACAUAGAUAUGGUAAACUUUUUUUCCUCCGUUUGAUCUAGGGAGGUAUUUU